This is a long non-coding RNA of Populus trichocarpa (black cottonwood), 1211 nucleotides long. RefSeq lists it as uncharacterized. The record is from RefSeq and is a predicted model, not a curated record. The transcript is spliced from 2 exons. NCBI's taxonomy places the organism in Eukaryota, Viridiplantae, Streptophyta, Magnoliopsida, Malpighiales, Salicaceae.
AAGGCUACUAGGAAACCGGAUGUACUGGUCUUAUCAGAGAUUCGCGGGUAAGAGACUGGUUGUGGUUAGGGAAGGUAUUAGCACCCCUAACGCACCCUACCUGAGGUAAGCUGCUUCGCGAAUUUGAUGUGUUUAAAGAAGUUUUAAUAAUUGUUUUUUCAUCGGAUAUUAGAAAUACAACUUACGUAUAAGUUAAUAAUUCUUGACCGUGAUCCAAUCAAAAUAUUAAAUUCUUCUUUAAUCUUUGCAAUUUUAUCAUAAAUAAAAAAACACAUUCAUAGAUAAAAAACAUACAAACACACACAUACACUUUCACUAUUUUUCUUUUCUUUUCUUUUCUUUUCCUUAUCUUUUUUUUUAUGUUUACAAAAAUACAAAUUACAAAAAAAAAACUCAAAACUAAACAAAUAUUACAUCAAACAAUUCUAAAAUUACAAAACAAGCCAUUCAAAAAAUCAUAGCAGUGCUGGGACCAGUUAUGUGAAGCCAAAGGACAGUAGGAACUGUGGCGGCGCGUCUCCUCCACGCGCCGCCGCACAAAACGCUGAAAAAAAACAGGGGUCAGCCACAGCUUCCUCCCCUCUUCCCGUCCUCGCCAGUGUGACCUGCAAAAUACCCAAAAAAACGCAACAGGCAGUCGAUUUUAGUUUUUCUUUCCUUUGUUUCAGAUCUGCGUCUCUUUCUCCGUUUCGGAUCGGCUCCUCUACAGAUCGGUUCUUUUCCUUUUUGUUUCUCCUUCUCUGUUUCAGGUGGUCGGCUGUAUGACCAAGAGGGCCGCCGGCUGCUAGGCUUUUGUCGGGUCUGGCCGGCGGCGAUGGAGAAGAGAUCUGUUGUCGCCCGCGGCCGCUGGAGCUGCUAUGGAGAUGGGAGAGGUGGCUUACGGUGUUGAGGCGGAGAUAUCAACGGGGGAGGCCGGUCUGUGGUUCUGGUGAUGAUGGGGACGGCUCUGUGGGCGCUGCUGCGGCUGACGGAGGGUGGAUCUGCAACCGAUCGGUUGAAAGAGAUGACCGGUCUUGGUUGUUCUUUGGCCGUUACUGUUGAAGAAACCACCAAAGAAGAGGCUGCUGAGGGGGAAGCUUUGGAUGGAGAAGCUGUGGGAUGAUUACUGCGGUUGAACAGGAGAGGAAAGGACAGAUCUACAGCUCCUGUGGGGGACGAUGACGGUCGGUCUGAGAGAGGAGAGGUCUGAUGGAGCUGAAACGGCAAAGGGG